Molecule: ribosomal RNA, 2925 nt
Filed under: Salmonella enterica subsp. enterica serovar Enteritidis
Lineage: Bacteria; Pseudomonadati; Pseudomonadota; Gammaproteobacteria; Enterobacterales; Enterobacteriaceae
Description: bacterial LSU rRNA
Rfam family: Bacterial large subunit ribosomal RNA
Source: RNAcentral
GGGUUGUGAGGUUAAGCGACUAAGCGUACACGGUGGAUGCCCUGGCAGUCAGAGGCGAUGAAGGGCGUGCUAAUCUGCGAUAAGCGCCGGUAAGGUGAUAUGAACCGUUAUAACCGGCGAUACCCGAAUGGGGAAACCCAGUGUGACUCGUCACACUAUCAUUAACUGAAUCCAUAGGUUAAUGAGGCGAACCGGGGGAACUGAAACAUCUAAGUACCCCGAGGAAAAGAAAUCAACCGAGAUUCCCCCAGUAGCGGCGAGCGAACGGGGAGGAGCCCAGAGCCUGAAUCAGCAUGUGUGUUAGUGGAAGCGUCUGGAAAGGCGCGCGAUACAGGGUGACAGCCCCGUACACAAAAGCGCAUGUGCUGUGAGCUCGAUGAGUAGGGCGGGACACGUGGUAUCCUGUCUGAAUAUGGGGGGACCAUCCUCCAAGGCUAAAUACUCCUGACUGACCGAUAGUGAACCAGUACCGUGAGGGAAAGGCGAAAAGAACCCCGGCGAGGGGAGUGAAAAAGAACCUGAAACCGUGUACGUACAAGCAGUGGGAGCACCCUUUGGGUGUGACUGCGUACCUUUUGUAUAAUGGGUCAGCGACUUAUAUUCUGUAGCAAGGUUAACCGAAUAGGGGAGCCGGAGGGAAACCGAGUCUUAACCGGGCGUUAAGUUGCAGGGUAUAGACCCGAAACCCGGUGAUCUAGCCAUGGGCAGGUUGAAGGUUGGGUAACACUAACUGGAGGACCGAACCGACUAAUGUUGAAAAAUUAGCGGAUGACCUGUGGCUGGGGGUGAAAGGCCAAUCAAACCGGGAGAUAGCUGGUUCUCCCCGAAAGCUAUUUAGGUAGCGCCUCGUGAAUUCAUCUCCGGGGGUAGAGCACUGUUUCGGCUAGGGGGCCAUCCCGGCUUACCAACCCGAUGCAAACUGCGAAUACCGGAGAAUGUUAUCACGGGAGACACACGGCGGGUGCUAACGUCCGUCGUGAAGAGGGAAACAACCCAGACCGCCAGCUAAGGUCCCAAAGUCAUGGUUAAGUGGGAAACGAUGUGGGAAGGCCCAGACAGCCAGGAUGUUGGCUUAGAAGCAGCCAUCAUUUAAAGAAAGCGUAAUAGCUCACUGGUCGAGUCGGCCUGCGCGGAAGAUGUAACGGGGCUAAACCAUGCACCGAAGCUGCGGCAGCGACACUGUGUGUUGUUGGGUAGGGGAGCGUUCUGUAAGCCUGUGAAGGUGUGUCGUGAGGCAUGCUGGAGGUAUCAGAAGUGCGAAUGCUGACAUAAGUAACGAUAAAGCGGGUGAAAAGCCCGCUCGCCGGAAGACCAAGGGUUCCUGUCCAACGUUAAUCGGGGCAGGGUGAGUCGACCCCUAAGGCGAGGCCGAAAGGCGUAGUCGAUGGGAAACGGGUUAAUAUUCCCGUACUUGGUGUUACUGCGAAGGGGGGACGGAGAAGGCUAUGUUGGCCGGGCGACGGUUGUCCCGGUUUAAGCGUGUAGGUGUGUGUUCCAGGUAAAUCCGGUUCACUUUAACACUGAGGCGUGACGACGAGGCACUACGGUGCUGAAGCAACAAAUGCCCUGCUUCCAGGAAAAGCCUCUAAGCAUCAGGUAACAUCAAAUCGUACCCCAAACCGACACAGGUGGUCAGGUAGAGAAUACCAAGGCGCUUGAGAGAACUCGGGUGAAGGAACUAGGCAAAAUGGUGCCGUAACUUCGGGAGAAGGCACGCUGACACGUAGGUGAAGUGAUUUACUCAUGGAGCUGAAGUCAGUCGAAGAUACCAGCUGGCUGCAACUGUUUAUUAAAAACACAGCACUGUGCAAACACGAAAGUGGACGUAUACGGUGUGACGCCUGCCCGGUGCCGGAAGGUUAAUUGAUGGGGUCAGCGCAAGCGAAGCUCCUGAUCGAAGCCCCGGUAAACGGCGGCCGUAACUAUAACGGUCCUAAGGUAGCGAAAUUCCUUGUCGGGUAAGUUCCGACCUGCACGAAUGGCGUAAUGAUGGCCAGGCUGUCUCCACCCGAGACUCAGUGAAAUUGAACUCGCUGUGAAGAUGCAGUGUACCCGCGGCAAGACGGAAAGACCCCGUGAACCUUUACUAUAGCUUGACACUGAACAUUGAGCCUUGAUGUGUAGGAUAGGUGGGAGGCUUUGAAGUGUGGACGCCAGUCUGCAUGGAGCCGACCUUGAAAUACCACCCUUUAAUGUUUGAUGUUCUAACGUGGACCCGUUACCCGGGUUGCGGACAGUGUCUGGUGGGUAGUUUGACUGGGGCGGUCUCCUCCUAAAGAGUAACGGAGGAGCACGAAGGUUGGCUAAUCCUGGUCGGACAUCAGGAGGUUAGUGCAAUGGCAUAAGCCAGCUUGACUGCGAGCGUGACGGCGCGAGCAGGUGCGAAAGCAGGUCAUAGUGAUCCGGUGGUUCUGAAUGGAAGGGCCAUCGCUCAACGGAUAAAAGGUACUCCGGGGAUAACAGGCUGAUACCGCCCAAGAGUUCAUAUCGACGGCGGUGUUUGGCACCUCGAUGUCGGCUCAUCACAUCCUGGGGCUGAAGUAGGUCCCAAGGGUAUGGCUGUUCGCCAUUUAAAGUGGUACGCGAGCUGGGUUUAGAACGUCGUGAGACAGUUCGGUCCCUAUCUGCCGUGGGCGCUGGAGAACUGAGGGGGGCUGCUCCUAGUACGAGAGGACCGGAGUGGACGCAUCACUGGUGUUCGGGUUGUCAUGCCAAUGGCACUGCCCGGUAGCUAAAUGCGGAAGAGAUAAGUGCUGAAAGCAUCUAAGCACGAAACUUGCCCCGAGAUGAGUUCUCCCUGAGACUUUAGGUCUCCUGAAGGAACGUUGAAGACGACGACGUUGAUAGGCCGGGUGUGUAAGCGCAGCGAUGCGUUGAGCUAACCGGUACUAAUGAACCGUGAGGCUUAACCUUACAACGCCGAAG